Long non-coding RNA from Astatotilapia calliptera (eastern happy), 1032 nucleotides. The record is from Ensembl. Lineage: Eukaryota; Metazoa; Chordata; Actinopteri; Cichliformes; Cichlidae.
GCCUGCCACAGCAAAUUGGCCUCAUGUAGAGAGAAAAAAAGAGGAGAAGUAGGGGAGGGCUGCAAAGCUAGUGAAGAUGUAAGCUAGCAGGGGGAGGUAAUCUUAGAUCCUACAUGGCCUGGAGUAGCGUGCCCCCUGAUGCUAAACAUUUGGCAGUGGACCAAACUGUGAGGACAAACACCAUGUCUUCUACAAUUAGACACAGUUCUCUCAACAUAGUAACAUGGUGCUACUUCAAAUGCGUCUUUUUUUUUUUUUCAGAAUUGUUGGUGUUUAAUUUGGGUUUGCCACUGGAAGUGGCACUGGCUUAGUACAUACAGUCAGUGAGCUGUAAAUCCAGUAGGUAGGUACAGUUAGGGUUUUUUGUGCAUGAUAGAAAUUCUUGCAUUUAUCAUUGUUACAGUUAUUUGUUUUGGAGUUUGCAAUGCAAAAUAAAAAUUGCUUGAUUUCAGACUGAGAAAGAUUCUGUCAUUCAAUGAUGUUUAGGACUGACUGUUUGAAAAUCAAAUAUUCUCUCAUGGGAACACUUUCUGUAGUCUCUCUUUGUUCUGUUUCCCUUUUUCUGUCUGACAGCAGAUGUAGGUGUGAGAUAAAUGUGUUCUGGUAGUGUGUUGCAUGGCUGGUUGCAAAUUUAAUGUAUAUCCUUUUUAAUCUGAAGUUUCUCUUGGUUUAGGUCCAGUUCAUAUCCACAGCCUCUAUGUACUGUUUUCAUUUCCCUGGUCAAGUUUUUCUUUCCGUAAAGGUGCAAAUGAAAUCACUUUUCUACCUGCCAAAAUAUUUACAGCUGCUUAAACAGCAAUAUACCACGCCAACUUUAUGUCAGUAUUUCCUUAUUACACAUUUGUUUAAUAAUAAUGAGUUGUUAAUUACUACCAACUUCCUCUCCUUGUCCAGAAGUGAUUAGUGAGGUCCUUAAUCAACUCAUAGACAGAGAGAGUUUAAGACACGCUAAGAGAAAUCCACCAAAAAUUCAUCUGCUUGGAUCGUAUUGAGAUGCAGCUUUUCUGGGGGUGAAUGAAGCACUAGAAGUAC